GGGCGGAUUUAGCCAAG
This 17-nucleotide transfer RNA is filed under the name Medicago ruthenica. RNAcentral's name for it is "partial tRNA-His". The record is from RNAcentral. Lineage: Eukaryota; Viridiplantae; Streptophyta; Magnoliopsida; Fabales; Fabaceae.